AAAUUGAAGAGUUUGAUCAUGGCUCAGAUUGAACGCUGGCGGCAGGCCUAACACAUGCAAGUCGAACGGUAGCACAGAGAGCUUGCUCUCGGGUGACGAGUGGCGGACGGGUGAGUAAUGUCUGGGAAACUGCCUGAUGGAGGGGGAUAACUACUGGAAACGGUAGCUAAUACCGCAUAACGUCGCAAGACCAAAGAGGGGGACCUUCGGGCCUCUUGCCAUCAGAUGUGCCCAGAUGGGAUUAGCUAGUAGGUGGGGUAACGGCUCACCUAGGCGACGAUCCCUAGCUGGUCUGAGAGGAUGACCAGCCACACUGGAACUGAGACACGGUCCAGACUCCUACGGGAGGCAGCAGUGGGGAAUAUUGCACAAUGGGCGCAAGCCUGAUGCAGCCAUGCCGCGUGUAUGAAGAAGGCCUUCGGGUUGUAAAGUACUUUCAGCGGGGAGGAAGGUGUUGUGGUUAAUAACCACAGCAAUUGACGUUACCCGCAGAAGAAGCACCGGCUAACUCCGUGCCAGCAGCCGCGGUAAUACGGAGGGUGCAAGCGUUAAUCGGAAUUACUGGGCGUAAAGCGCACGCAGGCGGUCUGUCAAGUCGGAUGUGAAAUCCCCGGGCUCAACCUGGGAACUGCAUUCGAAACUGGCAGGCUAGAGUCUUGUAGAGGGGGGUAGAAUUCCAGGUGUAGCGGUGAAAUGCGUAGAGAUCUGGAGGAAUACCGGUGGCGAAGGCGGCCCCCUGGACAAAGACUGACGCUCAGGUGCGAAAGCGUGGGGAGCAAACAGGAUUAGAUACCCUGGUAGUCCACGCCGUAAACGAUGUCGACUUGGAGGUUGUGCCCUUGAGGCGUGGCUUCCGGAGCUAACGCGUUAAGUCGACCGCCUGGGGAGUACGGCCGCAAGGUUAAAACUCAAAUGAAUUGACGGGGGCCCGCACAAGCGGUGGAGCAUGUGGUUUAAUUCGAUGCAACGCGAAGAACCUUACCUACUCUUGACAUCCAGAGAACUUUCCAGAGAUGGAUUGGUGCCUUCGGGAACUCUGAGACAGGUGCUGCAUGGCUGUCGUCAGCUCGUGUUGUGAAAUGUUGGGUUAAGUCCCGCAACGAGCGCAACCCUUAUCCUUUGUUGCCAGCGGUCCGGCCGGGAACUCAAAGGAGACUGCCAGUGAUAAACUGGAGGAAGGUGGGGAUGACGUCAAGUCAUCAUGGCCCUUACGAGUAGGGCUACACACGUGCUACAAUGGCGCAUACAAAGAGAAGCGACCUCGCGAGAGCAAGCGGACCUCAUAAAGUGCGUCGUAGUCCGGAUUGGAGUCUGCAACUCGACUCCAUGAAGUCGGAAUCGCUAGUAAUCGUAGAUCAGAAUGCUACGGUGAAUACGUUCCCGGGCCUUGUACACACCGCCCGUCACACCAUGGGAGUGGGUUGCAAAAGAAGUAGGUAGCUUAACCUUCGGGAGGGCGCUUACCACUUUGUGAUUCAUGACUGGGGUGAAGUCGUAACAAGGUAACCGUAGGGGAACCUGCGGUUGGAUCACCUCCUUA
Molecule: ribosomal RNA, 1540 nt
Filed under: Pantoea agglomerans
Lineage: Bacteria; Pseudomonadati; Pseudomonadota; Gammaproteobacteria; Enterobacterales; Erwiniaceae
Also listed under: 4 other names
Description: bacterial SSU rRNA
Rfam family: Bacterial small subunit ribosomal RNA
Source: RNAcentral